CCUGGGUCACUGCGAGCAAAACAGCCACUACAGAUUGCUGACUCGCACAGAAAGAUGGGAGUGGGCGGAAGGAAUGUGGAACUGUCAUGAGACCGCUAUGCCAGCAGCCAUGAGACAAGCUGCAAUCAACUGAAGUUGGAAGGUACCUAUGGAGAUCAACAAGUCCAACAUCCUUCCACAAAGUGAGAGGGGUCAAGUAGAACAGGUGGCUUACAGCUGCAUCCAGUUGGGUUUGAACAUCUCCAAGAGUGAAGACUCCAUAACCUCACCAGAUGAAGU
Long non-coding RNA from Gallus gallus (chicken), 279 nucleotides. NCBI's taxonomy places the organism in Eukaryota, Metazoa, Chordata, Aves, Galliformes, Phasianidae. The record is from Ensembl.